UACGUAGGUGGCAAGCGUUGUUCGGAUUUACUGGGCGUAAAGGGCGCGUAGGCGGCGCGGUAAGUCACUUGUGAAAUCUCUGAGCUUAACUCAGAACGGCCAAGUGAUACUGCAGUGCUAGAGUGUGGAAGGGGCAAUCGGAAUUCUUGGUGUAGCGGUGAAAUGCGUAGAUAUCAAGAGGAACACCUGAGGUGAAGACGGGUUGCUGGGCCAACACUGACGCUGAGGCGCGAAAGCCAGGGGAGCAAACGGG
RNAcentral lists this ribosomal RNA (253 nucleotides) under uncultured bacterium. RNAcentral describes it as "partial 16S ribosomal RNA". It matches the Rfam family "Bacterial small subunit ribosomal RNA", at positions 524 to 776 of the family's 1533-position model. The record is from RNAcentral.